UGAGGUCAAGCUACAAAGGGCUCACGGUGGAUACCUAGGCACACAGAGGCGACGAAGGACGUGGUUACCGACGAAACGCCCCGGGGAGCUGGAAACAAGCAUUGAUCCGGGGGUAUCCGAAUGGGGCAACCCUGCGAAUGAUUACCUGAAUAUAUAGGGUAGAGCAAGCCAACCCAGUGAACUGAAACAUCUUAGUAGCUGGAGGAAGAGAAAGUAAGAACGAUUCCCCAAGUAGCGGCGAGCGAACGGGGAGAAGCCUAAACCAGUCUUUACGGAGACUGGGGUUGUGGGACAGUGAGAUGUAUCAAGGACUUUAGACGAAGCAGUUGAAAGCUGCACCAUAGUGGGUGAAAGUCCCGUAGUCGAAAGAGGAAUUGAGCUAACUGUAUCCCGAGUAGCACGGGCCCCGUGGAAUCCCGUGUGAAUCAUCGAGGACCACCUCGAAAGGCUAAAUACUCCUGUGUGACCGAUAGCGAAAAGUACCGCGAGGGAAAGGUGAAAAGAACCCCGGAAGGGGAGUGAAAUAGAACAUGAAACCGUGAGCUUACAAGCAGUGGGAGUCCGAUUAAACGGAUGACCGCGUGCCUGUUGAAGAAUGAGCCGGCGACUUAUAGGGUCUGGCAGGUUAAGGCGGGAAUGCCGAAGCCAAAGCGAAAGCGAGUCUGAAUAGGGCGUUAGUCAGAUUUUAUAGACCCGAACCCGGGUGAUCUAACCAUGUCCAGGAUGAAGCUUGGGUGACACCAAGUGGAGGUCCGAACCGACUUCUGUUGAAAAAGGAGCGGAUGAGGUGUGGUUAGGGGUGAAAUGCCAAUCGAACUCGGAGCUAGCUGGUUCUCCCCGAAAUAUGUUGAGGCAUAGCGGUUGGUGUUUAAGACGUGGGGUAAAGCACUGUUUCGGUGCGGGCUGGGAGACUGGUACCAAAUCGAGACAAACUCAGAAUACGCGUUGUAUAGCCAGCCAGUCAGACGGUGGGGGAUAAGCUUCAUCGUCAAGAGGGAAACAGCCCAGACCAUCAGCUAAGGUCCUUAAGUCAUGACUAAGUGAUAAAGGAGGUGGGAAUGCCGAGACAACCAGGAGGUUUGCCUAGAAGCAGCCAUCCUUGAAAGAGUGCGUAAUAGCUCACUGGUCAAGCGUUCCUGCGCCGAAAAUGAACGGGGCUAAGUCAUGUACCGAAGCUAUGGAUUUGCAUAACGACCUCUAUUGUGAUGGAUGACAUUAGUUAUCGAUGAUAGAUAGAGAGUCACCUACUAUGUGAGUGGUAGGGGAGCGUUCUGUGGAGUGUGAAGCGUUAGCGAGAGCAGGCGUGGACGAAACAGAAGUGAGAAUGUCGGCUUGAGUAGCGAAAAUGUGGGUGAGAAUCCCACACCCCGAAACCCUAAGGGUUCCUCCGGAAGGCUCGUCCGCGGAGGGUUAGUCGGGACCUAAGGCGAGGCCGAAAGGCGUAGUCGAUGGCCAACGGGUGAAUAUUCCCGUACAGGCUAUGUAUUGUGAAGAGGGACGGAGACAGCUAAGCCAGCCGGAUAAUGGAUACCGGUUCAAGCGAACGAGGUGUUGAGAGACGGAGAAAACGUCUUGAGCUGAGUCGUGAAUAGGAGUUGCUACGGCGACGAAGUGGCUGAUGUUAAGCUUCCAAGAAAAGCUCUAACCACGUUAAUGCAUAGUUUCCCGUACCCGAAACCGACACAGGUAGGGUGGUAGAGAAUACCGAGGGGCGCGAGAUAACUCUCUCUAAGGAACUCGGCAAAAUGGCCCCGUAACUUCGGGAUAAGGGGUGCCACUGAGAGGUGGCCGCAGUGAAGAGUCCCAGGCGACUGUUUACCAAAAACACAGGUCUCCGCGAAGUCGAAAGACGAAGUAUGGGGGCUGACGCCUGCCCAGUGCCGGAAGGUUAAGGAAGUUGGUCAGACUUUUCGGAGUUAAAGCUAGCGACUGAAGCCCCGGUGAACGGCGGCCGUAACUAUAACGGUCCUAAGGUAGCGAAAUUCCUUGUCGGGUAAGUUCCGACCCGCACGAAAGGCGUAACGAUCUGGGAGCUGUCUCGGAGAGAGACUCGGCGAAAUAGGAAUGUCUGUGAAGAUACGGACUACCCGCACUUGGACAGAAAGACCCUAUGAAGCUUUACUGUAGUUUGGUAUUGGGUUCGGGCUUUAGUUGCGCAGGAUAGGUGGGAGACUUAGAGAUGACACUUGUGGGUGUUAUGGAGUCACUGGUGAGAUACCACCCUGCUAGAGCUAGGAUUCUAACUUUGAGCCAUCAUCUGGCCAAAGGACGUUAUCAGAUGGGCAGUUUGACUGGGGCGGUCGCCUCCUAAAAAGUAACGGAGGCGCGCAAAGGUUCCCUCAGGCUGGUUGGAAAUCAGCCAUCGAGUGUAAAAGCAAAAGGGAGCUUGACUGCGAGACCUACAAGUCGAGCAGGUACGAAAGUAGGCUUUAGUGAUCCGACGGUACUGUGUGGAAGGGCCGUCGCUCAACGGAUAAAAGUUACUCUAGGGAUAACAGGCUGAUCUCCCCCAAGAGUUCACAUCGACGGGGAGGUUUGGCACCUCGAUGUCGGCUCAUCGCAACCUGGGGCUGAAGUCGGUCCCAAGGGUUGGGCUGUUCGCCCAUUAAAGCGGUACGUGAGCUGGGUUCAGAACGUCGUGAGACAGUUCGGUCCAUAUCCGGUGCGGGCGUAAGAACAUUGAGAGGAAUUCUCCCUAGUACGAGAGGACCGGGAGGAACACACCGCUGGUGUACCUGUUAUCGUGCCAACGGUAAACGCAGGGUAGCUAAGUGUGGAGAGGAUAACCGCUGAAAGCAUCUAAGUGGGAAGCCCACCUCAAGAUGAGUGUUCUCAUGGGUCAACCCAGUAAGGCCACGGGAAGAACACCCGUUGAUAGGCGAUAGGUGGAAGUGCAGCAAUGUAUGGAGCCAAGUCGUACUAAUAGGCCGAGGGCUUGUCCUCA
This 2944-nucleotide ribosomal RNA is filed under the name Synechococcales cyanobacterium RM1_1_8. RNAcentral describes it as "23S ribosomal RNA". It matches the Rfam family "Bacterial large subunit ribosomal RNA". The record is from RNAcentral. Lineage: Bacteria; Bacillati; Cyanobacteriota; Cyanophyceae; Synechococcales.